This 102-nucleotide Y RNA is filed under the name Carlito syrichta (Philippine tarsier). RNAcentral describes it as "Y RNA (ENSTSYG00000026470.1)". It matches the Rfam family "Y RNA". From Rfam's summary of the family: Y RNAs are components of the Ro ribonucleoprotein particle (Ro RNP), in association with Ro60 and La proteins. The Y RNAs and Ro60 and La proteins are well conserved, but the function of the Ro RNP is not known. In humans the RNA component can be one of four small RNAs -- hY1, hY3, hY4 and hY5. Lineage: Eukaryota; Metazoa; Chordata; Mammalia; Primates; Tarsiidae. The record is from RNAcentral.
GGCUUGUUUGAGUGCAGUGGUGUUUACAACGAAUUGAUUACAACUAGUUACAGUUUUCUUUGUUCCUUCUCCACUCUCUUUGCUUCACUUGACUAGUACUAU